CAGUCGCCGCGGUAAUACAGAGGAUGCAAGCGUUAUUCGGAAUGAUUGGGCGUAAAGCGUCUGUAGGUGGCUUUUCAAGUCCACCGUCAAAUCCCCGGGCUCAACCCUGGACAAGCAGUGGAAACUACCAAGCUGGAGUACGGUAGGGGUAGAGGGAAUUUCCGGUGGAGCGGCGAAAUGCGUUGAGAUCGGAAAGAACACCAACGACGAAAGCACUCUGCUGGGCCGACACUGAUACUGAGAGACGAAAGCUAGGGGAGCAAAUGGGAUUAGAUACCCGGGUAGUCCCUGUCUCUUAUAC
This 301-nucleotide ribosomal RNA is filed under the name uncultured bacterium. Its description in RNAcentral is "partial 16S ribosomal RNA". It matches the Rfam family "Bacterial small subunit ribosomal RNA", at positions 509 to 807 of the family's 1533-position model. The record is from RNAcentral.